This 72-nucleotide small nucleolar RNA is filed under the name Tinamus guttatus (white-throated tinamou). Its description in RNAcentral is "Small nucleolar RNA SNORD58". It matches the Rfam family "Small nucleolar RNA SNORD58". Rfam says of the family: snoRNA U58 is found in introns 1, 3 and 6 of the ribosomal protein RPL17 gene in humans. Lineage: Eukaryota; Metazoa; Chordata; Aves; Tinamiformes; Tinamidae. The record is from Rfam by way of RNAcentral.
UUGCUAUGAUGACCAUCUUAAGAUGCCUUUGGAAUGCCUGUGAAAAAAAAAAUAUAUGUAUUUCUGAGCAAC